Molecule: small nuclear RNA, 107 nt
Organism: Pipistrellus kuhlii (Kuhl's pipistrelle)
Lineage: Eukaryota; Metazoa; Chordata; Mammalia; Chiroptera; Vespertilionidae
Source: RefSeq, a predicted model, not a curated record
GUGCUCGCUUCGGCAGCACAUACACUAAAACUGCCACAACACAGAGAAGGUUAGCAUGGCCCCUGUGCAAGGACGACAUGCAAAUCCGUGAGAUGUUAAAAACAACA